This 468-nucleotide ribosomal RNA is filed under the name uncultured bacterium. Its description in RNAcentral is "partial 16S ribosomal RNA". It matches the Rfam family "Bacterial small subunit ribosomal RNA", at positions 28 to 507 of the family's 1533-position model. The record is from RNAcentral.
GACGAACGCUGGCGGCGUGCUUAACACAUGCAAGUCGAACGGAAAGGCCCUGCUUUUGUGGGGUGCUCGAGUGGCGAACGGGUGAGUAACACGUGAGUAACCUGCCCUUGUAUUUGGGAUAACUUCAGGAAACUGGGGCUAAUACCGGAUAGGAGCUCCUGCUGCAUGGUGGGGGUUGGAAAGUUUCGGCGGUUGGGGAUGGACUCGCGGCUUAUCCGCUUGUUGGUGGGGUAGUGGCUUACCAAGGCUUUGACGGGUAGCCGGCCUGAGAGGGUUACCGGCCACAUGGGGACUGAGAUACGGCCCAGACGCCUACGGGAGGCAGCAGUGGGGAAUAUUGCACAAUGGGCGGAAGCCUGAUGCGGCAACGCCGCGUGCGGGAUGACGGCCUUCGGGUGGUAAACCGCUUUCGCCUGUGACGAAGCGUGAGUGACGGUAAUGGGUAAAGAAGCACCGGCUAACUACGUG